GUCAACCGAGGAAGUGCUUCGAAAACUGGCAAACUUGAGUGCAGAAAAGGAAAGUGGAACUCCAUGUGUAGCGGUGGAAUGCGUAGAUAUAUGGAAAAACACCAGUGGCGAAGGCGGCUUUCUGGUCUGUAACUGACGCUGAGAUUCGAAAGCAUGGGUAGCAAACAGGAUUAGAUACCCUGGUAGUCCAUGCCGUAAACGAUGAGUGCUAAGUGUUGGAGGGUUUCCGCCCUUCAGUGCUGCAGCUAACGCAUUAAGCACUCCGCCUGGGGAGUACGAUCGCAAGAUUGAAACUCAAAGGAAUUGACGGGGGCCCGCACAAGCGGUGGAGCAUGUGGUUUAAUUCGAAGCAACGCGAAGAACCUUACCAGGUCUUGACAUACCAUGAAAAGCUCAGAGAUGAGUCUUUCCCUUCGGGGACAUGGAUACAGGUGGUGCAUGGUUGUCGUCAGCUCGUGUCGUGAGAUGUUGGGUUAAGUCCCGCAACGAGCGCAACCCUUAUUAUCAGUUGCCAGCAUUCAGUUGGGCACUCUGGUGAGACUGCCGGUGAUAAACCGGAGGAAGGUGGGGACGACGUCAAAUCAUCAUGCCCCUUAUGACCUGGGCUACACACGUGCUACAAUGGUCGGUACAACG
Molecule: ribosomal RNA, 636 nt
Filed under: uncultured bacterium
Lineage: Bacteria
Description: bacterial SSU rRNA
Rfam family: Bacterial small subunit ribosomal RNA
Source: RNAcentral